CGUCAAAGCUUUAGACACCUCGUUUUUGGACGAAAGACCCUUUGGAGCUUAACCCCUCAAUAGUACUGAACGAUUUUAUAUUUUUAUAAAACUCCUUAUGUUAAAACUAGUAACAAGAACUUAAUUUCUCUUCCUAUACAAGUGUAAAUCAGACUAGAAAGUCUACUGAUCUUUAGCAGCCCUAAAUUAAAGCAAUAAAUAACCCAGAAAAUCCUGCUUUAAUUUCUGUUAAUCUUACACAAGGGUAUAAAAAGAAAGAUCAAAAGAAAAAGAAGGAACUCGGCAAACCCUGAUUCCGCCUGUUUACCAAAAACAUCGCCUCCUGCUAACCUAUAGGAGGUCCAGCCUGCCCGGUGACCUAGUUUAACGGCCGCGGUAUCCUAACCGUGCGAAGGUAGCGUAAUCACCUGUUUUUUAAUUGAAGACCUGUAUGAAAGGCAUCACGAGAAUCAAUCUGUCUCCCUUUUCUGAUCAGUGAAACUAAUCUCCCCGUGAAAAAGCGGGGAUAAAGCUACAAGACGAGAAGACCCUUUGAAGCUUGAGACAAAGUAUUAUAUUGCACACUCACUUUACCCUAUCUAAAUUAGCACUUAUUUACUAGUCUUUGGUUGGGGCAACCGCGGGGUAAAAAACAACCCCCACGAUGAACGGAGCUUUCCUAAACGAAAAGCCACAACUUUAUGUAUCAAUAAAUUGACAUUAUGACCCAAUAUUUUGAUUAUCGAACCAAGUUACUCUAGGGAUAACAGCGCAAUCCACCCCGAGAGUUCAUAUCGACAGGUGGGCUUACGACCUCG
RNAcentral lists this ribosomal RNA (797 nucleotides) under Eleutherodactylus ionthus. Its description in RNAcentral is "partial 16S ribosomal RNA". It matches the Rfam family "Bacterial large subunit ribosomal RNA", at positions 1481 to 2528 of the family's 2925-position model. Lineage: Eukaryota; Metazoa; Chordata; Amphibia; Anura; Eleutherodactylidae. The record is from RNAcentral.